AUGCUCGCUUCAGCAGCACAUAUACUAAAAUUGGAAUGAUACAGAGAAGAUUAGCAUGGCCCCUGUACAAGGAUGACACACAAAUUCAUGAAGCGUUCCAUAUUUUU
This 107-nucleotide small nuclear RNA is filed under the name Myotis brandtii (Brandt's bat). The record is from RNAcentral. Lineage: Eukaryota; Metazoa; Chordata; Mammalia; Chiroptera; Vespertilionidae.